ACAUUAUAAAAGUGUCAACGAAAAAAAAAAACGUCGUCUCUUCAAUUAGUACCUAUACCCGCCUAUCUAUACGUUAUGUAAUAUAAUAUAUUAUAUACUCGAAUUUGAAUAUUUUGGAACGUUUAAAUAAAUUUUAAGUACCUAUACAUUAUAUUAUUCCAUGAAUAAACCUCGAACGUGGUCUUGUAUUAUAAUAAAGAAAUAAAAUAUCGAUUAUUAAACGCUAUACACUAUUCAUUUAAACGCAUAUUAUACAAUACAAUUAUCACCUUUGAUUAGGUUUAAUAUAUUACAUUUAACGGGUGCCCUCACUUUUGAAUAUUGUGAAACCGUACUAGGGGCAUUAUGUUUGCGCAAUAAGUCCGGACAUAUUUCCAUGUAAAUUUUUCGAAUUUGGUUUCAAAAUUCAAAAAUGGAGGGUACUAAAGAAGUGUACCUCUAUCUUUGAGAGGCCGUCACAGUGGUUCUCUCUAUGUCUAUAAUUUGUGACGGGCUGCAGUAUACAGCAAAAAUAUUGUAUUCAAAACGUCCAUGUAAAACAAACUAAAAUGUACUUUAAAAUCGGUUUUAUUAGUUAUACUAAUUAUACAAUUUUUAUAUAACAACGUUCGGGGGACGAAUUUACGAAAGAACAUAUUGUACACCUUUUUUUUUUUAAAUCGAAUUUCCUUGAAAAUAAAUACUAUUUCAAUGUACUAUAUCUGUUAUAUUAUGUUUAUACACCUAGGUAUAUACUUACCAGGUACAUUUUUAGAUACUUUUAGCGGCUGCAUCUAAACCAAAUGAGCUCAAAUCCGGAGGUUAGGGUCUUUUUAUAUUCGGUUGAAAGUAAUAAAAGACGGGUUCGAAUUUAAAUAUAAAUUUCACCGUGUUCUUGCGAGAGAGGGUGAUUUUUAUGGUUUUAAAUAUCCCUCAAGCCCAAAAAUGAAGCCAUGAUGACAUUUUGUACAUGCAUGCCGUUAGUAAUAUAUGGGUCUUUUGGGGGACUUCAUCAACUAUCCAAUUCUACCAAUAUAGUUUUUAUAAUCAAAUUUUACCAUUUUUUAAAAAUAAAUUAAUGUAUUAUAAAAUUGAAUUAUUUUUAUUGUUUUGCAAAAGUAGAUAUAAUAUUAUGCGUUUCUUCUAUCG
Cinara cedri is the source of this 1128-nucleotide non-coding RNA. The record is from the annotation of a GenBank genome assembly. Lineage: Eukaryota; Metazoa; Arthropoda; Insecta; Hemiptera; Aphididae.